CCUAUCUCAAAAUUAAGCCCUGUACCUUUGCUCCUAAGCAUGAAGAUGGGCUUCUGACCAAGUCCUGCUAGAGGACACUGAAAGGGCAAGCCUUGGGCUUUAACCAGGCAAUGGUGAGAAAACUGUGGCUUGGAGAGAUGAAGUAGCUUGAACAAAAUCACAGAGCUGCUGCUGCUGAUGGGACAGGAUUUGGGAUGAGGAAAAUUUAAAUUGGGCUCCAGAGAAGAGACAUUGAGACUGAUACUUCCAGCACUGAGGAUCUACCUCUAGGUUGGUGAGGGCAGCUUCUUGGGCAGUGAGAAGUGGGGUGGGCAGUGAGGAGCAUUCCCAGAAGUGAGGACCACUCUAGGGCUGUGAGGACAAUCCUAGGGCAGUGAGAACCCUCUGAGGCAGUGAGGAC
Molecule: long non-coding RNA, 400 nt
Filed under: Homo sapiens (human)
Lineage: Eukaryota; Metazoa; Chordata; Mammalia; Primates; Hominidae
Description: HSALNT0261563
Source: RNAcentral